AUUGAACGCUGGCGGCAUGCCUUACACAUGCAAGUCGAACGGCAGCGGGGGAGAAGCUUGCUUUUCCUGCCGGCGAGUGGCGAACGGGUGAGUAAUACAUCGGAACGUGCCCUGUAGUGGGGGAUAACUAGUCGAAAGAUUAGCUAAUACCGCAUACGACCUGAGGGUGAAAGUGGGGGACCGCAAGGCCUCAUGCUAUAGGAGCGGCCGAUGGCUGAUUAGCUAGUUGGUGGGGUAAAGGCCUACCAAGGCGACGAUCAGUAGCUGGGCGGGGAGGACGAUCAGCCACACUGGGACUGGGACACGGCCCAGACUCCUACGGGAGGCAGCAGUGGGGAAUUUUGGACAAUGGGCGAAAGCCUGAUCCAGCAAUGCCGCGUGUGUGAAGAAGGCCUUCGGGUUGUAAAGCACUUUUGUCCGGAAAGAAAUGGCUCUGGUUAAUACCUGGGGUCGAUGACGGUACCGGAAGAAUAAGGACCGGCUAACUACGUGCCAGCCGCCGCGGUAA
RNAcentral lists this ribosomal RNA (508 nucleotides) under uncultured bacterium. RNAcentral's name for it is "partial 16S ribosomal RNA". It matches the Rfam family "Bacterial small subunit ribosomal RNA", at positions 29 to 523 of the family's 1533-position model. The record is from RNAcentral.